ACUGGUGUCAGCCGCCGCGGUAAUACCAGCUCUCCGAGUGGUAGGGACGAUUAUUGGGCCUAAAGCGUUCGUAGCCGGCUUGGCAAGUCUCUCGUUAAAUCCAGUGACCUAAUCGCUGGGCUGCGGGAGAUACUGUCAGGCUUGGGAGCGGAAGAGGUCGACGGUAUUCUCGGGGUAGGGGUGAAAUCCUGUAACCCCGGGAGGACCACCAGUGGCGAAGGCUGUCGACUAGAACGCGUCCGACGGUGAGGGACGAAAGCUGGGGGAGCGAACCGGAUUAGAUACCCGGGUAGUCCCAGCUGUAAACUAUGCGGGCUAGGUGUCAGUGUGGCUACGAGCCACUCUGGUGCCGCAGGGAAGCUCAUAA
This 367-nucleotide ribosomal RNA is filed under the name uncultured archaeon. RNAcentral's name for it is "bacterial SSU rRNA". It matches the Rfam family "Archaeal small subunit ribosomal RNA", at positions 451 to 818 of the family's 1478-position model. The record is from RNAcentral.